Molecule: long non-coding RNA, 1575 nt
Organism: Dermacentor andersoni
Lineage: Eukaryota; Metazoa; Arthropoda; Arachnida; Ixodida; Ixodidae
Source: RefSeq, a predicted model, not a curated record
GCUUGGGACCUUUCUGCACUAUCACCAUGAUCGGCCCACAUGAUGAUUUCUUCUGUUGCCGGAGGCCGAAAAAACUACGGAAGGAUGCCAAAGAGUGUUUUGUGCGAAUGACACCAUACUUCAUUUCAAGCAAGUAAAACGCCAUGCGGGUUUAUUUCCCAACGGUUUGCUUCAACAGGUCAUUGUGAGAGAACGUCGUGGUCACAUUAGGCUGUGGAAGGACAUAUUUUUCCCCUUCUUUUAUUAAGGUGAAAGCCUUAUAACCGUGUCACACGGGCAACUCGGAUCUCCUUCAAAGUUCCUUCCCUUAAUGGACCGCAAGGGAGUUUCACAAGUUAGUAUAGGUGUUCUGUGGUUUCACCUCAAAGGAGUUAGCUCCGUGUCAUACGGCCUAUAAGCGAGCUUUUGAAGGCUGCCGCUGGGGGCCCAUUAGGCGCUGCUCACCUAGUACGCAGUCAUGAAAGAAACACGUUAUAUAUUGCUAAAAAGUUUUGGUUACUUGUCUUUUCUUACAAAAUACAAUUAUUUAUGCAUUGCAUUUUAAAAAUGUCAUCUAUCUUAAAGAAGAAAAAAACGAGCAUGUACUCAACAUAGCAUGUAGCAUGUACCAUUCCGAGAACGCCCGGUUCGAGAGUCGAAUGUAACUGCUCAACUCAAAUAUCUUUGUCAGUGCUCAAAUACUGUAUUAUAUGCAAUAAAAACAGUUAUAAUUGCUGGUAAAAGUGAAAUUAAUAAAAAUGAGGGUGAUUUCUUGACUCGAAAUUCAAGCACACUGGGAACAAGAGUACUUACUCCCUUCAGUCUGCAAGGGAGACCUUCCAUCUCCUUUCGCUGGGAACUUCCUUAAACUUCCUUUGCUAAAGGACUGCCGUGUGACACGGCGCGCAUCUCCCUCGAGAUAAAGACGUCCUUGGUUGAAGGGAGUUAAAAGGACUUUAGCCGCGUCCGUGUGACAGGGGUAGGGUUCGAAAAAUCCGACGACCGUCCCUCGUUAUGGCACCAAAAUUCAAGCGCAUGCGCCAGUAAGCAAUCAACUUUUUUAUCUAUAAAAUAGCUGGUUAUCUCCAUUCGCGUUGCCCUUCUAAUUAAUCAGCGUGGCCACAAAAGUAUUGGGCUUCCGGGGACUAUUUCAUGACAUCCUUAAAUGUUAUCUGUCGAACAGACCGCAAACAGUAGUAUUAGGCAAUUACUCUAGCUCUAUUUUGCCUACAAAAGCUGGAAUCCCUCUAGAGUCUAUCAUAGCCCCGCUACUGUUUAAUAUUUUCAUGAAUGACCUUGCGUCCGCUGUUUAAAAAUGCACAAUUUUUCAAUACGCCGAUGACACCGUUCUACUAGCUAAGCAUUUAUGCUACAAAUUGGCGAUCAAUAUGCUACAAAAAGAUGUCUAUAACGUAAUUUAUUGCUUUUCUAAAAACUUUCUUGUAAUCAAUAAUUCAAAAACAAAGCUGAUUUGUUUAAGAAAUUCCUUGAAAAUGAAGUCGAUAGAUGAACAUAUCUAUUUGCACAAUAAGAUUUGUUCGCCAUGUAGUUGUGCGCCAGUGGAGUAUAUGCAUGGGUGUAUUUUUUUUUUUUUUU